AGUCGAGCGAGGCGGCCCGCAAGGGUCAGUCGAGCGGCGAACGGGUGAGUAACGCGUGGAUAACCUGCCCAGAGGUGGGGGAUAACCCGGGGAAACUCGGGCUAAUACCGCAUAUGACCGUGAGGUCAAAGGCGGCUCGCAAGGGCUGUCGCCAUUGGAGGGGUCCGCGUCCGAUUAGCUAGUUGGUAGGGUAAUGGCCUACCAAGGCUACGAUCGGUAGCCGGCCUGAGAGGGUGAUCGGCCACACUGGAACUGAGACACGGUCCAGACUCCUACGGGAGGCAGCAGUGGGGAAUUUUGCGCAAUGGGCUAACGCCUGACGCAGCAACGCCGCGUGGAGGAUGAAGGUCUUUGGAUUGUAAACUCCUGUCAGCAGGGAAAAAGCAACUCGGCCUAACACGCCGGGGAGUUGAUUGUACCUGCAGAGGAAGCCCCGGCUAACUCUGUGCCAGCAGCCGCGGUAAUACAGAGGAGGCAAGCGUUAUUCGGAAUUAUUGGGCGUAAAGGGCGCGUAGGCGGCUUGGCAAGUGGAUGGUGAAAUCCCUCGGCUUAACCGAGGAACUGCCGUCCAAACUGCUUAGCUUGAGACCGGGAGAGGUGAGUGGAAUUCCCAGUGUAGCGGUGAAAUGCGUAGAUAUUGGGAGGAACACCAGUGGCGAAGGCGGCUCACUGGACCGGAACUGACGCUGAUGCGCGAAAGCGUGGGGAGCAAACGGGAUUAGAUACCCCGGUAGUCCACGCCGUAAACGAUGAGUGCUUGGUGUAGCGGGUAUCGACCCCUGCUGUGCCGAAGUCAACACAUUAAGCACUCCGCCUGGGGAGUACGG
Molecule: ribosomal RNA, 827 nt
Filed under: uncultured Bacillota bacterium
Lineage: Bacteria; Bacillati; Bacillota
Description: bacterial SSU rRNA
Rfam family: Bacterial small subunit ribosomal RNA
Source: RNAcentral